RNAcentral lists this ribosomal RNA (420 nucleotides) under uncultured bacterium. RNAcentral's name for it is "bacterial SSU rRNA". It matches the Rfam family "Bacterial small subunit ribosomal RNA", at positions 29 to 498 of the family's 1533-position model. The record is from RNAcentral.
AGCGAACGCUGGCGGCAGGCUUAACACAUGCAAGUCGAACGAUCCUUCGGGAUAGUGGCGGACGGGUGAGUAACACGUGGGAACGUGCCCUUAGGUUCGGAACAACACAGGGAAACUUGUGCUAAUACCGGAUAAGCCCUUACGGGGAAAGAUUUAUCGCCUUUGGAGCGGCCCGCGUCUGAUUAGCUUGUUGGUGAGGUAAAGGCUCACCAAGGCUACGAUCAGUAGCUGGUCUGAGAGGAUGACCAGCCACACUGGGACUGAGACACGGCCCAGACUCCUACGGGAGGCAGCAGUGGGGAAUCUUGCGCAAUGGGGGAAACCCUGACGCAGCCAUGCCGCGUGGAUGAUGAAGGUCUUAGGAUUGUAAAUCCUUUCAGCGGGACGAUAAUGACGGUACCCGCAGAAGAAGCCCCGGCU